This 1332-nucleotide ribosomal RNA is filed under the name uncultured bacterium. Its description in RNAcentral is "bacterial SSU rRNA". It matches the Rfam family "Bacterial small subunit ribosomal RNA". The record is from RNAcentral.
AGAGUUUGAUCAUGGCUCAGAACGUACGCUGGCGGCACGCCUAACACAUGCAAGUCGAACGAAGUAGCAAUACUUAGUGGCAGACGGGUGAGUAACAUGUAGGUAUCUGCCCUUUGGCCUGGAAUAACACGAGGAAACUUGUGCUAAUACCGGAUAAGUCUUUACGGAGAAAGCUUUAUGCACCAUUGGAUGAGCCUGCACUUGAUUAGUUUGUUGGUAGGGUAAUGGCCUACCAAGACUGUGAUCAAUAGCUGAUUUGAGAGGAUGAUCAGCCACAUUGGGACUGAGACACGGCCCAAACUCCUACGGGAGGCAGCAGUGGGGAAUCUUGCACAAUGGAGGAAACUCUGAUGCAGCGAUGCCGCGUGAGUGAAGAAGGCCUUUGGGUUGUAAAGCUCUUUCGUCGGGGAAGAAAAUGACUGUACCCGAAUAAGAAGGUCCGGCUAACUUCGUGCCAGCAGCCGCGGUAAUACGAAGGGACCUAGCGUAGUUCGGAAUUACUGGGCUUAAAGAGUUCGUAGGUGGUUGAAAAAGUUGGUGGUGAAAUCCCAGAGCUUAACUCUGGAACUGCCAUCAAAACUUUUCAGCUAGAGUAUGAUAGAGGAAAGCAGAAUUUCUAGUGUAGAGGUGAAAUUCGUAGAUAUUAGAAAGAAUACCAAUUGCGAAGGCAGCUUUCUGGAUCAUUACUGACACUGAGGAACGAAAGCAUGGGUAGCGAAGAGGAUUAGAUACCCUCGUAGUCCAUGCCGUAAACGAUGUGUGUUAGACGUUGGAAAUUUAUUUUCAGUGUCGCAGCGAAAGCGAUAAACACACCGCCUGGGGAGUACGACCGCAAGGUUAAAACUCAAAUGAAUUGACGGGGACCCGCACAAGUAGUGGAGCAUGUGGUUUAAUUCGAAGAUACGCGCAGAACCUUACCAACACUUGACAUGUUCGUCGCGACUCUGAGAGAUUAGAGUUUUCGGUUCGGCCGGACGAAACACAGGUGCUGCAUGGCUGUCGUCAGCUCGUGUCGUGAGAUGUUGGGUUAAGUCCCGCAACGAGCGCAACCCUCACUUUUAGUUGCCAUCAUUAAGUUGGGCACUCUGAAAGAACUGCCAGUGAUAAGCUGGAGGAAGGUGGGGAUGACGUCAAGUCCUCAUGGCCCUUACGUGUUGGGCUACACACGUGCUACAAUGGUAUCUACAACAGGAAGCAAGACUGCGAAGUUAAGCAAAUCCUUAAAAGAUACCUCAGUUCGGAUUGCACUCUGCAACUCGAGUGCAUGAAGCUGGAAUUACUAGUAAUCGUGGAUCAGCGUGCCACGGUGAAUGCGUUCCCGGGUCUUGUAGA